This 253-nucleotide ribosomal RNA is filed under the name uncultured Oscillospira sp. RNAcentral describes it as "partial 16S ribosomal RNA". It matches the Rfam family "Bacterial small subunit ribosomal RNA", at positions 524 to 776 of the family's 1533-position model. Lineage: Bacteria; Bacillati; Bacillota; Clostridia; Eubacteriales; Oscillospiraceae. The record is from RNAcentral.
UACGUAGGGAGCAAGCGUUGUCCGGAAUUACUGGGUGUAAAGGGAGCGUAGGCGGGGAUGCAAGUCAGAUGUGAAAACUAUGGGCUCAACCCAUAGCCUGCAUUUGAAACUGUAUUUCUUGAGUGCUGGAGAGGCAAUCGGAAUUCCGUGUGUAGCGGUGAAAUGCGUAGAUAUACGGAGGAACACCAGUGGCGAAGGCGGAUUGCUGGACAGUAACUGACGCUGAGGCGCGAAAGCGUGGGGAGCAAAAAGG